GCUUGAUGCUUACUCCACAGAUUAUACCCCGCAAUCAUAACCGUAGUCAUUAAAUUAAAUAAUUUAAGCAUUACACUGUAAUUCCAAGGAACUUGUUUCACGAGGCAUUCCAGAGUUCCAGACCCUGCCAUUUACAUUAUAAUAUGAGCAGUAGAAGAAUAAUAACUUUUUUUAAUAUAUGAUAUUUGCUAGAAACUUCACAAUAUCACGAACCAACCAAGAAAAAAAUAAAUGGAAGGAUGAAGGAGUAACCUUCCUUGAGGCCACCACAUCUAUAUUUGCAUCCCUCCGUGUACAAACCGAUUUUUGUUGCUUUCACAUCACCCUGUAAUGGCAGGGGAGCUUUCUAUACAUGAAUUGGAUAUUGGCAUAUAAUAAAGAUGAUAACGUCCCAUAACCGCUUCCGUAGAUCAUCUCAGGCUUUCUUCAAGUUUACCAACCCAUAUUAACUUCUUCAUUGCCUCCUCGUCACAAAAUCUUCCGUUAUCACUAUAACUCCUGUGUUGAGAAGUGAGCUAUCCUUUUAUCUGUGGUAAAAUUACUAGGACGGUGGUGAACGCUUAGAUAAACAUCACAAUCUCCUAAACAAUUGUCAACUUGAAGGAUCCCAGGGAUUCUCUGAAGGCUGUAAACACUCCUCAGGGUUGGAAUAGAAAUAAUCCUCCUCUUUUGGCCUGUCUGGAAU
Molecule: unclassified non-coding RNA, 685 nt
Filed under: Hevea brasiliensis (rubber tree)
Lineage: Eukaryota; Viridiplantae; Streptophyta; Magnoliopsida; Malpighiales; Euphorbiaceae
Source: RNAcentral